This 6890-nucleotide long non-coding RNA is filed under the name Sus scrofa (pig). Its description in RNAcentral is "lncRNA (ENSSSCG00000052258.1)". The record is from RNAcentral. Lineage: Eukaryota; Metazoa; Chordata; Mammalia; Artiodactyla; Suidae.
UUUUUUUUCCCCUCUAUUCCUGGGGUACAAGUUCAAGAGAAAAUCUAAUAGUAUAUAUCAACUUUGGGGAACUAGACCAGAACUCAGAAGUGACACCUAGAAGGCAGUUGAGUGGCGAUGCUCAUGGUGAGAUGGGUGUGGGGUGAACUUAGAGAGUGACGUUUGAACUAGAUAGCAACUGGGAGUGGAACACUGAAUUCUACUCGGAGGCACUUGAUUUGAAGGAACAUUUAUUUGAAACUUGUAAGAAUGGACCAGGACAUGUGGGGAUACAAAUAGUAUCUCUCUGUCUCUACUGGUUCUCACGAGGAGAACGGGUUGUGUUCAUAUAGCAAACUUCCUAUGGUGCAAAGUCUGCUUUGUGACUACUGUUCAUACCUAGUGCAGGGAGAAUCCCUGUAAGAAAACGUCUCUUCCUUCUCACCAGUAUAUUCACAGAGGGAUCCCUCCCAUGCUUGGCCCUGGCCCAAUACCUCUAAAUUUAGGCAAGGGUAGUUUUCAGUUUGUGCUGGAUCCAGCCCAGUGAGAAGUGGGAAAAUAUAUUUCCUUUCUUCCUCCUCCUCCUAUUUUUUUUUCCAUUCUGAUCCACUGCACUUCGACCCUUAGUCAACUGCUAAGAGCCAGUGAAGUUUCUCAAAUUCUGAUUCUUUUCUUGAUAGCUGGAUUUCUAACAAGAGCUCACAUUUCAGAUGUGGAGCAGUUCAGUCCAUCGUGAACUAACAGCUGGAGGGCUGUGGGUCAUAGGAUGUAGAUGGGGGCACAUCUCUGAACUGAGGUAGAGAAGAAGACUUGGGAAAAGAUUGAGGUGAUGCUCUGGCUGCCUGUAAAGGUCACUGAGCUCAAGAAAGAGAACCUGUGGAAAGGAAACCAUACCUGGGUAUGCUAACAAAUACAUGCCCUGGUCUGUGAGGCUCAACAGUAGGUAAAGGUGGUUUUUAAAAGACACAAAAUGAGUCACACCUGAGGCUGGUGAGCAGUGAUGAUCUGAGCAGAGUGGAAAAUAGAUCCAUCCCAGAAGCCUCCAGCAUAGGGACCAGAGGGCUGCCAAAUGCUGAAAGGAAGGCUCACAGGACAGGCUUGCCCACAUGGUUAGCAGCUGGGAUCUUACUGAUAAAAGAUCAGAAAUACGAAUGCGUGAGGAAAAGAGAGUUUACUGAUUGCCUAUACAUACCUCUGAAUGAAUGUUACUUUUUCUUAAAUAAAAAAUGUUUUACUUGAAAUUACAAUUUUUUUCAGGGUAGCCUUACAAAGGAAAAUUCUGUGAUGCUAAAGGAGUUGAAGGCCACUUUAUUGUAGCUGAGAACCUAUAUUGAUCUUGGAUGGGCAAGAUAGGGCCUUGGAGCUGAGUGUAGGAAUAGCGAUCAGAAAUUAGUGAGCACUGCUUAGUUGAGGAGAAGAAUUUGAGCUCCUGGAGGUAAGGCAAAGGUGAAGAGUGAAAAUCAGUGUCCAGGAGGAAAUAGUCUACAAGGUGCCAGGAGAGCCUUAGCAGAAGAGACGCAGAAUGGGGGCAGCAGGUCAGGGAUGGAAAAUGGCACUUGACUCAGCAAAUUUGGCCAAAGCUGGAGCUAGAACAGCACAGAGCCUCCAGCUUUCCACUCCAUCCUGGAAUGACAAGCUUCCACCUUAAAGGCGGGUGCUCCCAAAUAAACAGAUUGAAAUAACUCAGUGACCAGACUGUCAUUCCAAGGUUGAGAUAUCUUUAGGAGUGUUGUGUCACCACCUAAAAUAAUGUAGGGAACAAAUAACAGAAAAGCUUUAAGCAAGAAUGAACUGAUAAAGAUAUCCACGUUCUGUACUCCUCUAGACCAUGAAUCCACUGACAGAGGGCUUUUGAUUCGUUUUCAUUAUUUCAGCGACUGAUCCAGUGUUGAAUAAAUGUUUGUGAAAUGAAGAAGUGAGUAACAAGAGGAAGAAAGAGAAGUGAGGAGCAGGGCAGACAACAGGCCGUCAUUGGCUAGAAGCAACCAAAUAGCACAGCAAAUAUUUUCAGCUUAGCACCUUUAAUGUCUUCCUUCUCUCUAUAUGGAACUCCCCCCCACUCCUCACACACAAAUACACACACAGUUUGGUUUCCUCACCUGCUACAAGUUAUCUUCUUUUCUCACCCUAUUUAAAAGCACAACUCUCCCCUAAACCAGAUUUAGUAUUUUUCAUUCUGUUUCCCGCUUUUCUUUUCUGCAUGGCCUGCAUGCCAUCUGGUCCAUUAUAUACUUUCUGCAUAUUUAUUUCAGUCACUACACUUUUGUUUGUAAGCCCCAGGAUGGCAGGAAAGCCUGACCGUUUUGCUCAUUGACAUGUCCUUAGCAACUAAUGGGCUCCUGGCCUGGAGUAGGUACUUUUGAAGAAAUGAAUGUAUGAAUGAGUGAAUAAAUUCAUGAAUGAGUAAAGAUGCCUAUGUGCAUCAUGAAACUGGUCAUUUGAAAAUAAGAAAUGAUGUUUUCCCCUCCAGACUAAAAGAGUCACAUUGAAGAAGUUAAAAAAGAAAAAAAGAAAAUGGGAAGAAAAAGGAAAACCCAUUACCAGAUAUGAAUUAAAGCCUGUCUGCUUUUAUGUAUUCAAAACCCCAAUGAACCCAGAACAGUAGUCAGAAGCUGGACCUAAUUUCUAGGAAGGAAAUUAGAAGCUUAUUUUCUGUCUUUCCAUUGCUUUUGAAUCUGUGUCCUGAUACAAGCCAAAUGUUGUCUGUCAGCCCGUUACAGCGUGUGCUCUCAUGUGCUGCCACACUUUUCAUUGCUGUCCCCCCGAGUUAAACUGCUCUGUUCUGCUGCCUUGCUAUCUAAGGCUCAAGAUAAAAAUGCUCAGUUGCUGUUGCCAUGCUGUCUGUCUCCAGUGUGUAAAUGCUUCCAUAUCAUGGGGUUUGCAUCUGACUACGUCUUGGCGGCUUCCAAAUAAGACUUAGAGAAACCAAGCGACCACUGUGAUGAUGACUAAACAUUUUGCAGAACAGUGAGAGGGAAAGACAGGUAUGGCUCUGAUGGCUCAGUUUUCCCUUCUGAUCAGCAUCAUCACCACCAUGUAGAGAGGAUGGAUUUCUAGCAAUCACCAUUGUGGGCACAGCUGUGACUGGUCAACAGAUGCACUUCUGUUACUCUGAGCUUUCCCCAAGAAUAUGGAAUUAGAUGAAACUUCAUAAACAAAACAAAUAGAUUGAGCCUUUAUUCACAUGAGAUAUGCAUAGAAGGAGGCUUUUGACUUCUCCCUGGUCCUUGUUUUUAUACCUUUGCAGCAAGUAGCAGAUGUUGGGAAUUCUAUAGAAUUUUUUAAAAAAAUGCUAAUGUCCACUAAAGCCUGAGUGGUAUUUAACGCAAAAGUGCAGGGACAUUGAAAUUCAGAAUUUCCAACAAGUUAUGUUUAUUAGCAUCAUUCACAUAUGCUUAUUCUUUUUGAGUCUUUAGGAUGUUCUUUGAUGUAAGUCCAAGUGGUGGUAUAAAAGGGUGUAGGCAAAGGUAUGUGAUACUCUUACUCACUGAAAGGGAAAAGGCAGCACCAGGUAAACUCAGUUGUCAUCCACUCAUAAGCCUUGUCUCAGUAAAGGUUUAGGGCAGCAUGAAAUACCAGAGAAUGUGCCCUCUUGGGGAUUAUGUAUAUCUACCAUUUAUCUAAAAUACCCUCCCACUGGCAUGGCUACUUUCUAAGUUUCUUCUGUAACAUUCAGAAAUUCAGUUCAUUCAGGACAUUUUCUCAACCUUUCUACCAUAUUUUUUUCCAUGUGUCUUCUUAGAGUUUAUAAAACUAGAAUACAAAAAAGAAAAGUUAUCAUAAGGGGCCAUUUGUCAAUAUUUGUUUUGGGUGUAUUUAUUUAUAAUAUAGAAAUCAUGUUAUCUUGAAGCAUAAACAGUUAGGGCUUUUGGCAGGGGUGUUUGAAUAAUGCUCUGAACUUGAUGAUAUUCAAUAAUUAUUAUCACUCGUAGAAAAUAAAGCCCACUCCCCAGAUUUGGAUUCACAGUUUUCGUCUGUAAAUUUAGAAGGAAAUAUUGAAGGCCAGACAUCAUUUGAUCUCUGUUCCCCUCUCAGUGGGAACUGAUGUAAACUGAAUAUUGUGAUCAUGUUAUGGGAACUUGCUUCGCUUUACUUACUGUUGAGGGAAUGCAUUGUGACAAGCAAUCUUAAUUUUAAAAGUUAAAAUUUUGAAAACAACAGUAAUCCAAUUUCACAUUGCACUUGAAGAAUAAAUGUCAAAUCUUGCAGAUUAAUUUGUACUUAGAAAAAAGAUUUUUCCAUGUUUCUUUUUCUAGAAGAUCUACCUGUCAUUGUUUGAGGAUAGGAGUCAGAUCCCAUGUUGCAGUCCUGCCUUUCCAGCGCCCUCUACUGGACACUACAGUUGAUGAAUAUAUUUAUCUCCACUCCUUCACAUUAGCUUGAGUUUAUUUCUAAAGUAUAGAAUCAAAUAGAAGGGUAGAAAGAAUUUGAGAAUUCUGUCCCUGCUUUCUCCUGGGGUCGUAUCCAAGGCACGUGAGAGAGAUGAACAUCUCCGCUGUUUUUCAAGACUGUUAGAAAGCAAAGAGUUUCAAAACUACUUUGGUUGAUGUUUUUACCCACCUGGCCUCAUACUAUGGCUGCCUUAUUGGGCAUUUAGGAUGACUUAAAUUACUGCACCUGCCAAAAGUGCUUUCAGGGUACUGUAAUCUAUAACACUACUUUUUAUCUUUUAAACACAAAAGAUGUGAUUUUCACUGGAGCAGAUGGAAUUUAUCAGUGCGACAGAGACAUUGUACAUGUGUUUAUCUCCGUCAUUUCUUUUCUAGUCAUAGUAAUGGCAGCAUGUACAUGAUGGAAAUUACAUACUGUUUUUUUUUUCCAUAGAAAAUAUCUAGAGGAGCAUACAUUUGCAUGUAAAAAUCUCAUGUUUCCUGCCAAAAAUAUAUUUUGUUCCAUUUUAAUGUGAAGAACCAAAAAUCCUUUAUUAUUAGACCAGAAGUUAGUAUCUAUCAGUAUUUAGCCUAGGUCCAUAAUACAGCCUUUGUUAUGUUUUGGUGUAUGUGAUUUAUCUCCAAAAUAUUAUUAGAAGAAUUUAAAACAAAAUGUGCUCAAUAUCCUGGUUAAAGCAGGCUUUCCCUACUCUUCUUUCCCUCCCUUGGUUACAGGUAGAAUUUGUUAACUGAAAGUAUUAAAGGGGAUGAAAUUUGGUAUACUUAAGAGCUGCUUUUGAUUGAGUUUGACUCCUUGAACAUUAAUCAUAUAUGAAUAUUUAUAAUAUAUCAAUGCAUGGCAAACCUACUCUGUCUUUUUUGGAAAUUUGCUAAGGCUUAGUGGUCCCCUGGCUGAUAUCAAAAGAUGAAAUCACCACUACCCCCUGCAACUUUCCAGUGAGUUCUAUAACUGCAAAAUCUUCAAAGCAUAAACUUCCUGAUGGAUAUCACAUCUUUUAAUUUUCUGAAAUUACUCUGUUAUUUCUUAUAGGAUGCAGCUAAUUAAACCGCUACAAUGAUGAAUUUAAAAAGUGCCACAAUAGUCAUAAUAAAACAUCUAUCUACAGUAGUUAAAAGUAGUUUUAAAAAGGCCAACAAACAUUACUCCAUAUGUUGGUAGUCAUAUGUUGGUAGUCAUAUGUAUUACCAUAUGUAAAACGUAUGUGCAUAUUAUAAAUAAUAGUGGUUUGGUGAAUACUCUGGAGUCAUUUUUACAAAUAUUCUUCUUCAAAAAGAAAACAAUGCAGAGGAAACGUACAAGAAUCUUUCACCUGAAAAAAAAAAAAAUCAAACUUUCUUCAAAGCUAGUGGAAGACCAACACACUGACCAUACCUGUCAGAACCUCUUGAAGUGUAAAUUUAGCCAGAGGACCAAACAUAGAAAGUUAAUGUCAAAUCUUUGAAUAGACAAAAUGUUCUCUUGGACUCAACAGGGACUGAGUCAGUGGUCAGGGACUGAGUCAUGAGCAGGAGGAGUUGAGUGUUUGAUUCUGUUCCUGUGUUUCUAGGUGGAAGAGUCUUAACAUCAAAUAUAUGUUGAGGGAAAAGAACCUACUCAACUUUCAAAAGUAUUCCAGCUUGUAGUAUUUUUGACCAUAUUGUCAUGCUUAUACCUUUUGUGAUAAUAUAUUAAAGAGCAAAAGGCCUCAAGCUAGAAUAAUUUUUAUCCAACUGCUGGACCCAGAAUUGCAAUUUACAUUUUUGUUACAUUACGCUAGCAACUACUGUUUACUAACUGCUUAUAGAACUAAAAAAUGCUGAAUAAAGCCUGCUACUGUAUUGGAAGAAGUGUUAGACUGGGAGUUUAGAACUGAGUUUGGUAUAUAUUUUUUUCUAUUGCUGUCACUAUGGGUUUCAGUGGCCUUGAAGGAAGGCGUUUGAUUUUAUUUUUUAAAUAAGAUCUUAGAAAUACUGACCUCAUCACCUGUAAUAAGUAUUGUUUGGUCUAAGAUGAUUAAAUCUUUUGCAGCUAUAAAUUGUCAAAAGCCAGACUUGUAUAUCCAGGGGCUUUGUCAACACCUUUGAUUAGAAAUUUAAUCAGAUCUCAACGGUAACAUUUUAAUAUGCCAGCAAAGAACCCAAACUUUUGACUUGCCGCCAUGCAUCUGCUUCUCAUCCAGUCUUCUCAAUCCCAAACUAUACAAAUAUUCAGGCCCCAAAUCCCAAAGUCUUCCUUUAUUCUUUCCCAAUUACAGAUCUUCCUUGACUUACAGUAGGCUUUUGUCCUGAUAAAUACAUUGUAAGUUGAAAAUAGUGUAAGUUUGGAGUGUAAUGGAAUUCCUGUCAUGAAUCUGACUAGCAUCCAUGAGGACACAGGUUUGAUCCCUGACCUUGCUCAGAGGUUAAGGAUCUGGCAUUAUCGUGAGCUAUGGUGGAGGUCACAGACGCAGCUUGGAUCUCACAUUGCUGUGGCUGUGUCACAGGCCAGCAUCUACAGCUCUGAUUUGACCCCUAGCCUGGGACCUCCAUAUGCCUCGGGUC